UAGAGAGUGGUGUAUUGGAAGCACGUAGAGUCUUGACCUCUUAGGUAAAGGGUUCGAGCCCCUUCUUUCUAG
Molecule: transfer RNA, 72 nt
Filed under: Taeniacara candidi
Lineage: Eukaryota; Metazoa; Chordata; Actinopteri; Cichliformes; Cichlidae
Description: tRNA-Gln
Rfam family: tRNA
About the family: Transfer RNA (tRNA) molecules are approximately 80 nucleotides in length. Their secondary structure includes four short double-helical elements and three loops (D, anti-codon, and T loops).
Source: RNAcentral